RNAcentral lists this ribosomal RNA (501 nucleotides) under uncultured actinomycete. RNAcentral describes it as "bacterial SSU rRNA". It matches the Rfam family "Bacterial small subunit ribosomal RNA", at positions 8 to 526 of the family's 1533-position model. Lineage: Bacteria; Bacillati; Actinomycetota; Actinomycetes; Actinomycetales. The record is from RNAcentral.
AGAGUUUGAUCCUGGCUCAGGACGAACGCUGGCGGCGCGCUUAACACAUGCAAGUCGAACGUGAAGCCCGGGCUUGCCCGGGUGGAAAGUGGCGAACGGGUGCGUAACACGUGAGCAACCUGCCCCGAAGACCGGGAUAACACCGGGAAACCGGUGCUAAUACCGGAUGCCCUCACCACGUCGCAUGGCAAGGUGAGGAAAUGGAUUCCGCUUCGGGAUGGGCUCGCGGCCUAUCAGCUUGUUGGUGGGGUAACGGCCUACCAAGGCAACGACGGGUAGCUGGUCUGAGAGGAUGUCCAGCCACACUGGGACUGAGACACGGCCCAGACUCCUACGGGAGGCAGCAGUGGGGAAUCUUGCACAAUGGGCGAAAGCCUGAUGCAGCGACGCCGCGUGCGGGAUGAAGGCCUUCGGGUUGUAAACCGCUUUCAGCAGGGACGAUUGUGACGGUACCUGCAGAAGAAGCCCCGGCCAACUACGUGCCAGCAGCCGCGGUAAUAC